GGAAAUUUAUUUUCAGUGUCGCAGGGAAACCGAUAAACACACCGCCUGGGGAGUACGACCGCAAGGUUAAAACUCAAAUGAAUUGACGGGGACCCGCACAAGUAGUGGAGCAUGUGGUUUAAUUCGAAGAUACGCGCAGAACCUUACCAACACUUGACAUGUUCGUCGCGACUCUAAGAGAUUAGAGUUUUCGGUUCGGCCGGACGAAACACAGGUGCUGCAUGGCUGUCGUCAGCUCGUGUCGUGAGAUGUUGGGUUAAGUCCCGCAACGAGCGCAACCCUCACUUUUAGUUGCCAUCAUUAAGUUGGGCACUCUGAAAGAACUGCCAGUGAUAAGCUGGAGGAAGGUGGGGAUGACGUCAAGUCCUCAUGGCCCUUACGUGUUGGGCUACACACGUGCUACAAUGGUAUCUACAACAGGAAGCAAGACUGCGAAGUUAAGCAAAUCCCUAAAAGAUACCUCAGUUCGGAUUGCACUCUGCAACUCGAGUGCAUGAAGCUGGAAUUACUAGUAAUCGUGGAUCAGCGUGCCACGGUGAAUGCGUUCCCGGGUCUUGUACACACCGCCCGUCACACCAUGGGAGUUGGUUCUACCUUAAGGCAAGGUUUCAAACCCUUGACCACGGUAUAGUCAGCGACUGGGGUGAAGUCGUAACAAGGUAGCCGUAGGGGAACCUGCGGCUGGAUUACCUCCUUU
This 697-nucleotide ribosomal RNA is filed under the name Candidatus Pelagibacter sp. Its description in RNAcentral is "bacterial SSU rRNA". It matches the Rfam family "Bacterial small subunit ribosomal RNA", at positions 825 to 1533 of the family's 1533-position model. The record is from RNAcentral. Lineage: Bacteria; Pseudomonadati; Pseudomonadota; Alphaproteobacteria; Candidatus Pelagibacterales; Candidatus Pelagibacteraceae.